Molecule: small RNA, 458 nt
Filed under: Pongo abelii (Sumatran orangutan)
Lineage: Eukaryota; Metazoa; Chordata; Mammalia; Primates; Hominidae
Description: processed transcript
Source: RNAcentral
GUUUUUAUUACGAUUAUACCUCAACACGAAUAAUCAUUCCAGUACUGAAAUCUGAUUAUAUUUAGCUGGGUGAUUUGGGCAAGAAACUUAACCUUUCUGUGCCUCCCCUUCUUCAUCUACAAACAAAAAAUCACAGUACCUCAUAGGGUUGUUGUGAGCAUUAAUUAAGUUAAAAUAGGGAAAGUGCUUAGAAGGGUUCCUGACAUACCUUAAUUUCCUGUGUUUUCUAAUGUACACACACACACACGCACACACACACUAGAGUGAAUUCAAACUCAUUUCAUUUGAAUUCAGGCAUUGAGAUGAAGUUCAAGAAUAUGCUGUUUCCUAUGAUUGUCUGCCCAGCCUGGAUCUCUGAGCUGAAUUCGGUAGAACAUGGACCCGAUGGUAUCUCCUUUGGAGCUGCUUGCCCCCUGAGCAUUGUAGAAAAAACCCUGGUGGAUGCUGUUGCUAAGCUU